Molecule: ribosomal RNA, 253 nt
Filed under: uncultured bacterium
Lineage: Bacteria
Description: partial 16S ribosomal RNA
Rfam family: Bacterial small subunit ribosomal RNA
Source: RNAcentral
UACAGGGGGUGCAAACGUUGCCCGGAAUCAUUGGGCGUAAAGCGCACGUAGGCGGUCUGUUAUGUCGGAUGUGAAAGCCCUUGGCUCAACUGAGGAAGUGCAUCCGAAACUGGCAGGCUAGAGUACUAAAGAGGGUCGCGGAAUUCCCGGUGUAGAGGUGAAAUUCGUAGAUAUCGGGAGGAACACCGGUGGCGAAGGCGGCGACCUGGGUAGAUACUGACGCUGAGGCGCGAAAGCUAGGGGAGCAAACAGG